AGAGACAUCUUGACAAUAUAAAAACAUAGGCUGACACCUGGAUCUUAAUGCUGAAGAACCAACUUGCUGUUGGGAGGCUGAGUCGGUGGUGAUUUUUAACGUCCUUGCCCCUUGCCCCACCCCUUUCUUUUCCACACUGUCUCCAGCACAACAGCCACUGUUAGACUGGAAAGGAAAUCUAGCUUUGUGAUUGGCUCAUGGUCCUGUCAAUCUGGAUCUGAAAUGUGUUGCUAGGUGAAGAUUCCAACUGCCUGGACAGAGGGCCAGGUAGGGGAUUAGAGGUACCUGGCUUUGGGUGAGACUUGAGUAGGUGCAGAAAUCCCAGAAUAAGAAUGGUUCUAAAAAACAACAAGAAUGGUCCUCAGUAUUUGAGUUUCUUCUCUGAAAAACACCCUGCUACUUACACCAAGGAAAUUAAUGCGGCUAAGGAAAACACACGACGGUGUAUUCAUCUCCUGUCUUUACAACAACCACCAACAGUAGCCAAUUCAGCUUAUAGUGUUGCUUCUCUGUGAUAGGCAAUGAGUUUGGACCCUUUUUGUCCUAAGGAAGAAAAGUGGCUAAGAGCAGAAUACCUGGAGCUGGCCCACUUCCACUGGAAUAUGGACUCCAGUGCUUAUAACUUUGGAUAAGGUACUUAAUUUUUCUGAAUGUCAGUGUCAUUAUCUGUAAAAUGGAGACGGUGGUAUUAUCUACCUCACAGGAUUAUUGGAAGAAUUGAAUGAGUCAAUGUAAGAAGGUACUAGAAAAUUGCCUGUCAAUAAGCACCAUAUGCAUGUUAGCUAAAAUCCUUCCAACAGGAGAAUGCUUAUGAUAGCUAUUGAUUUGUAUUGUUUUGUUCAAAUGACUUUUUGAAUUCUAAGAUGACCAAGAUUAAAAUGUUGUCCUUAUGUAAUUUGCAUGAAGAAGUUGUUCAUUAGAAUCACCCUGCGGGGCCUGCACUAUUUUCUAACCCUUGUUGCUCUAGGCCAGACCAGGGUUCAAGAAGCAGGUUGAGAGUGCUCAUAAACCUGAGUGAUACUGCUGGCCAAUGAAUGUGAAACUAAUUACCUCAUGUGCCUGACUUUCCUAAAUUGGUCUUGUGGAAGAACGUAGGUUUAGAGUGCAAAGACAGUUUCUCUCAGCAUUUAUGGAAUGCAAUGAAACUAGAGAGUAAAUUUACCAACAUUUGUUUAUCUGACAACAUCAACAGGCUAAAUAUCUGGAUAUCUUAAAUCUCAGAUGAGUGUCUUAGCCUCUGGAAUACUGCCCAAUGAGGAAACCUAUGAAAUGUAUGGAUAACUUGUUAAUCAAUAUUUGCCACAUGUGCUGGCAGCAUCAGUAUCAGUUGGGAGCUUAUGGUGACCUCCAUGUCAGACCUCCUGAAUCAGAAUAUCAGAGAAGGGGGCCCAGGCAAGUGUGCUUUACUAAGUUCUUCAGAAGAUAAGUUUGAGAAGCAUUGUCUUAGGGUACAUAAGCAUGAAGCUAGACUAGCAGAAACUCUACAUUGACUAACUGUAUGAUGGUGAGAAAGUUGCUUACCUCUUUUUAGCUUCUCUUUCUUCUUCUGUAUCAUAUGUUUGUUGUGAAGAUCAAACUUUUAGUACAUUGCAAGUGCAUGGAACUUAACAAAAACUCAGUAGACAUUAUUAUUAUUAUUGCCAAUAUUGAUGUUGCUGAUUUUUAGGUCUUACCAUCUACAGCAUGUUGCUGGCUGGUGAAAUGACUCCUCUCCUGAGGGUGUAAUAUGCAUUAACAAUUUCUUCUUGUACAUUUGGUGAUUCAAUGUUUGUUAUUUAAGUGGUGAAAUUGUUUACUACAUUUAUUAAAUAUUUAAAUGGUAAAUACUACAACUGCAAGGAAACAAUGGAUAAAA
Macaca mulatta (Rhesus monkey) is the source of this 1855-nucleotide long non-coding RNA. The record is from Ensembl. NCBI's taxonomy places the organism in Eukaryota, Metazoa, Chordata, Mammalia, Primates, Cercopithecidae.